RNAcentral lists this unclassified non-coding RNA (256 nucleotides) under Hevea brasiliensis (rubber tree). The record is from RNAcentral. Lineage: Eukaryota; Viridiplantae; Streptophyta; Magnoliopsida; Malpighiales; Euphorbiaceae.
UUCCUAUCCUCAAAAACCCUAGUUUUAUCUCUGUUUUAUAUGCUAUUCUCUCAUAGAUCGGAACCCUAAAACUUCACAAUAGCUGACGAUGGCCACUACGGUGAGCUCUGCCGGUGGACUACUGGCUAUGCUGAAUGAAAGUCACCCACAAUUGAAACUCCACGCGCUCUCUAAUCUCAAUGCAUUUGUUGAUUACUUCUGGCCGGAGAUUUCCUCUUCAGUCGCUCUCAUAGAAAGCUUGUAUGAGGAUGAAGAG